This is a non-coding RNA of Macaca mulatta (Rhesus monkey), 2378 nucleotides long. Lineage: Eukaryota; Metazoa; Chordata; Mammalia; Primates; Cercopithecidae. The record is from RefSeq and is a predicted model, not a curated record.
UUUCUAGACUAUGUUCUAAGAAACACUGAUAUUGUUGCAUGUUAGUUGAUGGUCGCCCAAGAAGGCUUCCAUUGUUAAAUAAGUUUGAAAAAAAAAAAAAAUGAAUCGAACUAAUUAGAUUUCUUCUUAGUGGGACUUCUUGGGGCUUUGCUAUGAUCUGUUAAUGGAAGUCUCCAAGAAGGAGAUAAACUUUUCCCAAGAUUUACUCUCCGUAUCACACUCUCACUCAAAUGCUGUAUCUUACAUGGAAGAUUUGGUACAUUGUCUCUCUAAACACAGCAUAUUUUCUACUGACUCAUUUCACGAAACCUAUUUGGACAGGACUAGCUAAUUAUUCGUGCUUUGCUUUGGUUCUAGGCUCAGGAUUUGCGCCAUAACUAGUCUUGAAGCACUACUCUAAGGGUCAUGAUUUUCAGUCAGAGGGAUAUACCUGGAAUCACAGGCUAUAGGUGUGAAAUCCAAUUUGUGUUUUGUUUGGAAAAUAAAUGUUUUGUUUUGGAGCUCCAGGAUGGUGAGAGGCUGACGAGGUGUUGCAGUGGCAAACAGGGUAAGGUGAGGAGACAGGAAGGUGCCGUCUUCUGACUUAGUGUUCUGCCCAGGGAGGAAUUUGAGAUGGCCCUGGAAAUUCAAUUCCUGGAAAAAGAAAACCGCAAACAUAAUGAGCACAGAAGGUAAGAGGAUGUUAAGUAGCUAAAACUGUAUAGAACUUGCCCCCUUAUGGAAUUCAGAGGAGUCCAGUAUCCUGCUGGGAGCCAAACAGGCAGAGCUCUCCUUGAACCCCCAACAUAGCACAGGUGUUUGCAGGCCUAGAAUCUAAUUCUUCUGGCCUGCCCAGCAGGCACUCAUCAUUUUUCAUGGCUCCUCAGCCCUCCCUCAGGGCCCUGCCCCAUACAGCCCUUUUCCCAAAGCUGCAGAGCAUAGUGUUAGUUAAGCUGUGAGGGGAUAUACAAUUCCAGGUGAUGGUGAAGAAGAUGAAUGUUAACAUCCUGAGUUCACCAGGGACGUAGGGCUGUACCAGAGGUAACAGGUGUAUCUGAAUCCUAAGUAAACAUAUCCCAAGUCUUAACUAGGCAGAGGAAGUUUCAAAAGACAACUGCAUCUUCAACAGGCUGACCCUCUGAAAUGUUAGUGAGCUGAAGGCCUGCGGACCCUUCCUGGGGUGGUGAGGAGGCUAGGCCCAACCUUUGGGCAGUGUUCCACCUGAGCAGACUUACAUACUGGUUUUGCGAGUCCUGACCCUGUAAAGACAAUAUGUUUACCAGAAACCCAGAAGAAUUGUCCAGCAGGCAGCGGAACCGACAGACAAAGCUUCUCUCCAGGCCCCAACGUGACAGACAGACCACUGGCCACUGCUGAAGAAUCUAGAUACAUUUGCAUUGUGGCUCACAUCUCCCUCCACAUGAGGCUGACGACCAGGAAGAGAGACUCACGGGAACCGAGGAGGGAGGAGCUGCUCCGCACACCCACAGGGAGAACUCGCUCUCAGUUGCGGAAAUGUGCCCUAGGCUCUGACUGUGGCGCUCGUGCCUACUACACCUCAUGGCUCCACCACCGUGUUCAGGGCCAUGAUCCUGCAGUGUCCCCAGCCAGUGACUGAGUAUGGCAGGGACACCAAGGCCGGCCUGUUCCCAGGGGACUCUGAUCGCCUCUGAUGGGCAAUUCGGGAUUAAGAACUUCCCAUCAGCCUUGCCGAAUUCUCUUAGAACUUCCAGCCGUACACAUUUCUCCUCUGUCUCCUGCCCAAGGGCCAGACCUGCGUGGAAGUGUGGCAGCUCCCCUGUCCACAGCUGCCUCCCCGUGCUCUGCUCCUCAGAAGAUGCUCCCUGAGGAAUCUCGCUCAUCUCAUCCUGUGUGGCAUCUGCUUCUUAAAGGACCUGGCCUAACAUGCCCUCCAACAGGUCUUUAGAUGAUAACUCAAGCAGCUGCCAAUCAGAAAAUUUUUGAAUCCGUCUAUGACCCGGAAGCCCCCAGUUCCAGUUGUCCCGCCUUUCUGGAUUGAAUUAAUUGACGUCUUAAGUCUCCCUAAAAUGUAUAAAACCAAGUUGUAGGCUGACCACCUUGGGCCCAUGUCAUCAGGACCUCCUGAGGCCGUGUCACAGGCGUGUCCUUAACUUCGGUUAAAUAAACUCCUACAUUACUUGAGACUUGUUUCAGAUACUCUUUGGUUUACAGUCUCCACCCAAAUAUCAGGUGAACUGUAAUCCCCAGUGUUGGAGGUGGGGCCCCGUGGGAGGUGACUGGAUCAUGGGGGCAAAUUUCUCAUGAAUGGUAUAACAUCAUCCCCUUGGGGCUGUCCUCACAAGAAUGAGUGAGUUCUUAGGAGAUCUGGUUAUUUAAAAGUGUGUGUGGCACCUCCCUCCUUGCCCUCUUGCCCCUGC